This 125-nucleotide small RNA is filed under the name Marmota monax (woodchuck). Lineage: Eukaryota; Metazoa; Chordata; Mammalia; Rodentia; Sciuridae. The record is from RNAcentral.
ACCAGGCAUGGUAACUCAUGCCUGUAAUCCCAGCAGCCUGGGAGGCUGAGGUAGGAGGAUCAAGAGUUCAAAGCCAACCUCAGCAAAAGCGAGGUGCUGAGCAACUCAGUGAGACCCUGUCUCCA